RNAcentral lists this unclassified non-coding RNA (682 nucleotides) under Rubroboletus pulcherrimus. Its description in RNAcentral is "partial contains ITS1, 5.8S rRNA and ITS2". The stretch from base 250 to 404 matches the Rfam family "5.8S ribosomal RNA". The record is from RNAcentral. Lineage: Eukaryota; Fungi; Basidiomycota; Agaricomycetes; Boletales; Boletaceae.
CAUUAUCGAAUUCUGAGGGGGAGAGGGGACGAUGGGAAGGGUAGCGACUGUCGCUGGCUCCCUUGAGCAUGUGCACGUCUUUCUUUUCGUCGAUCCUUCUCUUUCUUACACACACACACCUGUGCACCCCCAUCGUAGGUCCUCGAAAGAGGGUCUAUGGUUUUUUCACAUCACACCCGUCGUAUGUCCAUAGAAUGUAUUGAAAACGUCGACCUGUUUCGACAGGCCUGAUGGUCAAUUAAAUCAUACAACUUUCAGCAACGGAUCUCUUGGCUCUCGCAUCGAUGAAGAACGCAGCGAAUUGCGAUAAGUAAUGUGAAUUGCAGAUUUUCAGUGAAUCAUCGAAUCUUUGAACGCACCUUGCGCUCCUUGGUAUUCCGAGGAGCAUGCCUGUUUGAGUGUCAUCGAAUUCUCAACCAUGUCUUGAUUUGUUUCGAGGCAUGGCUUGGACUUUGGGGGUUGCUGGUGGCGGAAAUGCCUGUCAGCUCUUCUGAAAUGCAUUAGCGAUGGGCAGCGAGUCUUUGAUGUAUACGGCCUCUCGACGUGAUAAUGAUCGUCGUGGCUGGAGCGUCAGGAUUCAUAUUCAUGUUCACGCAUGAAUCGUUCAUUGCUUCCAAUGUCUAUCUAGGCUAGCACUAGUGUUUUUCGAAACUUGACCUCAAAUCAGGUAGGACUGCCUGCU